This 497-nucleotide ribosomal RNA is filed under the name uncultured bacterium. RNAcentral describes it as "partial 16S ribosomal RNA". It matches the Rfam family "Bacterial small subunit ribosomal RNA", at positions 28 to 507 of the family's 1533-position model. The record is from RNAcentral.
GAUGAACGCUGGCGGCGUGCCUAAUACAUGCAAGUCGAGCGAACGGACGAGAAGCUUGCUUCUCUGAUGUUAGCGGCGGACGGGUGAGUAACACGUGGAUAACCUACCUAUAAGACUGGGAUAACUUCGGGAAACCGGAGCUAAUACCGGAUAAUAUAUUGAACCGCAUGGUUCAAAAGUGAAAGACGGUCUUGCUGUCACUUAUAGAUUGAUCCGCGCUGCAUUAGCUAGUUGGUAAGGUAACGGCUUACCAAGGCAACGAUGCAUAGCCGACCUGAGAGGGUGAUCGGCCACACUGGAACUGAGACACGGUCCAGAAUCCUACGGGAGGCAGCAGUAGGGAAUCUUCCGCAAUGGGCGAAAGCCUGACGGAGCAACGCCGCGUGAGUGAUGAAGGUCUUCGGAUCGUAAAACUCUGUUAUUAGGGAAGAACAAAUGUGUAAGUAACUGUGCACAUCUUGACGGUACCUAAUCAGAAAGCCACGGCUAACUACGUG